Long non-coding RNA from Sinocyclocheilus grahami, 362 nucleotides. RefSeq lists it as uncharacterized. NCBI's taxonomy places the organism in Eukaryota, Metazoa, Chordata, Actinopteri, Cypriniformes, Cyprinidae. The transcript is spliced from 3 exons. The record is from RefSeq and is a predicted model, not a curated record.
GGUGAGGGAGUAUCUACUGAGCAAACUCCUGUUAUAUGCAGUGAUCAAAGAGAGAGGAAGAAAGUGACUUUUCUCACAGCUCAAUGUGCCAGAAGCCAGUACAAGCAUCUGCUUAUGUGGGACUCUGAGAGCCAGAGCUCCAGCUCGAAGUAAACAUGAUUGCGAGGCUCCCAGACUUACCUAGAACUGUCUGACAACACAGGGAGGAUAUUGAUUCAAAUUGGACUCAAGCGAGGUCAGAUGUGACAAUAACAACUCCGACUGGUUUGAACCCGGGGCUCAGCACCUGUGGAAAUGUAUUUAAUUAAUCUCUAUCAGUAUGUCCUUUAUUUAAUAUUUACAGGAAGGAAAACUGCAAUACC